UACGGGGGGGGCAAGCGUUGUUCGGAAUUACUGGGCGUAAAGGGUUUGUAGGUGGCUUGCUAAGUCAGACGUGAAAUCCCUCAGCUUAACUGGGGAACUGCGUCUGAUACUGGCGAGCUUGAGUGCAGGAGAGGAACGCGGAAUUCCAGGUGUAGCGGUGAAAUGCGUAGAUAUCAAGAGGAACACCUGAGGUGAAGACGGGUUGCUGGGCUGACACUGACGCUGAGGCGCGAAAGCUAGGGUAGCAAACGGG
RNAcentral lists this ribosomal RNA (253 nucleotides) under uncultured bacterium. RNAcentral's name for it is "partial 16S ribosomal RNA". It matches the Rfam family "Bacterial small subunit ribosomal RNA", at positions 524 to 776 of the family's 1533-position model. The record is from RNAcentral.